RNAcentral lists this ribosomal RNA (692 nucleotides) under uncultured bacterium. Its description in RNAcentral is "bacterial SSU rRNA". It matches the Rfam family "Bacterial small subunit ribosomal RNA", at positions 32 to 715 of the family's 1533-position model. The record is from RNAcentral.
AACGCUAGCUACAGGCUUAACACAUGCAAGUCGAGGGGCAGCACGGGAGUAGCAAUACAACUGGUGGCGACCGGCGCACGGGUGAGUAACGCGUAUGCAACCUACCUAUCAGAGGGGAAUAACCCGGCGAAAGUCGGACUAAUACCGCAUAAAACAGGGGCACCGCAUGGUGAUAUUUGUUAAAGAAAUUCGCUGAUAGAUGGGCAUGCGUUCCGUUAGGUAGUUGGUGAGGUAACGGCUCACCAAGCCGACGAUGGAUAGGGGAACUGAGAGGUUGGUCCCCCACACUGGUACUGAGACACGGACCAGACUCCUACGGGAGGCAGCGGUGAGGAAUAUUGGUCAAUGGGCGAGAGCCUGAACCAGCCAAGUCGCGUGAAGGAAGAAGGAUCUAUGGUUCGUAAACUUCUUUUGCAGGGGAAUAAAGUGCAGGACGUGUCCUGUUUUGUAUGUACCCUGAGAAUAAGGAUCGGCUAACUCCGUGCCAGCAGCCGCGGUAAUACGGAGGAUCCGAGCGUUAUCCGGAUUUAUUGGGUUUAAAGGGUGCGUAGGUGGUUUUAUAAGUCAGCGGUGAAAGUUUGCAGCUUAACUGUAAAAAUGCCGUUGAAACUGUAAGACUUGAGUGUAAAUGAGGUAGGCGGAAUGCGUGGUGUAGCGGUGAAAUGCAUAGAUAUCACGAAGAACUCCGAUUG